Molecule: transfer RNA, 91 nt
Filed under: Caudoviricetes sp.
Lineage: Duplodnaviria; Heunggongvirae; Uroviricota; Caudoviricetes
Description: tRNA-Ile
Rfam family: tRNA
About the family: Transfer RNA (tRNA) molecules are approximately 80 nucleotides in length. Their secondary structure includes four short double-helical elements and three loops (D, anti-codon, and T loops).
Source: RNAcentral
CCAUCGGCAGCUUAAUUGGUUCAAGCCCGCGACCUAUAAUCGCGAGACCCUCACAAGGCAAGUGGAGGUUCGACCCCUCCCCGGUGGACCA